RNAcentral lists this ribosomal RNA (242 nucleotides) under uncultured bacterium. Its description in RNAcentral is "partial 16S ribosomal RNA". It matches the Rfam family "Bacterial small subunit ribosomal RNA", at positions 99 to 334 of the family's 1533-position model. The record is from RNAcentral.
CGGACGGGUGAGUAACACGUAGCUAACCUACCCCUUGGACCGGGACAACGGUGCGAAAGCGCCGCUAAUACCGGAUACGCCGGCCGAUCUAUCCGAUUGGUCGUGAAAGCGGGCUUUGUUCCGCACCGAGGGAGGGGGCUGCGGCCUAUUAGCUUGUUGGUAGGGUAACGGCCUACCAAGGCUUCGAUGGGUAGCUGAUCUGAGAGGAUGAUCAGUCACACUGGGACUGAGACACGGCCCAG